AUAACAUCCAUCAGAGGGGAAAGGCUAACUGAAUGAUGACCAGAUUGUAACGAUGACAUAAGCUGCUCCAUUUUGAGCAGUCCUGAAUCUAUGAAUGAAGCAGAACCACCAUCAAAAAUGAAGAUAGCUAAGUGCAACCUAGAUCAGCCAACUGUGAGCCAUGCUGCAGAAACACAUCAUGAUGGAAAGUUAUGAGUCAAGGAAGACAUGAUAUUCAUUAUUUGACAUACUACCAACACUUGAAGAUUUGGAAAUACAGAGAUGGAUUUCAGAAUGUAGCUGAAGCUCAAUGAAUGACAUUGGGUGACUAUUCAAAAUCAAUACAAUUAGUAAAAAUGAAAUAUUGAGAGAGAAAAGAGUUUUAGGAAUGUCCACAUUAAGAGAUGCUGGGAGGAUGAUAAAGAUGACUACAGUCAGACUAUGAGAAAGAGGCAAGAAAAGUUGGGAAGAACCUCAGAAGAAUGAAUUAAUGAAAUUUUGUGGAAAAUAGUAAAUGAUAAUAUUUCAAGAGG
Molecule: long non-coding RNA, 512 nt
Filed under: Capra hircus (goat)
Lineage: Eukaryota; Metazoa; Chordata; Mammalia; Artiodactyla; Bovidae
Description: lncRNA (ENSCHIG00000001232.1)
Source: RNAcentral